AGGCUUACUGUUUCUUUAAGAAUUUAUUAAUUAUGAUAAUUUUUGCAGAGCUGGAACCACGGGUAUAAUUUGCUUGAUGCAUUUUGAGGGAUUAAAUAGUAGGGAGGCAACAAGGGAAGCAAAAACAAGAAGACCGAUCAUUGAACCAAUCUGUGAUUUCAAAACUCUUCUGACCUUCUGUGAUCUAGUCCCACGUGAUCCAGCAAACAAGCGGUUCCAUAUCUAGGAUUCAUCUAACAGAGUUCCAUAUCUAGAAUUCAUCCACCACAGUUCCAUAUCUAGGAUUCAUCUAACACAGUUCCAUAUCUAGGAUUCAUCUAACAGAGUUCCAUAUCUAGGAUAUAUCUACCACAGUUACAUAUCUAGGAUUCAUCUAACACAGUUCCAUAUCUAGGAUAUAUCUACCACAGUUCCAUAUCUAGCAUAUAUCUACCACAGUUCCAUAUCUUGGAUUCAUCAACCACAGUUCCAUAUCUAG
Molecule: long non-coding RNA, 478 nt
Organism: Eurytemora carolleeae
Lineage: Eukaryota; Metazoa; Arthropoda; Copepoda; Calanoida; Temoridae
Exons: 2
Source: RefSeq, a predicted model, not a curated record